Molecule: long non-coding RNA, 1650 nt
Organism: Esox lucius (northern pike)
Lineage: Eukaryota; Metazoa; Chordata; Actinopteri; Esociformes; Esocidae
Source: Ensembl
CGGCGAAAGCGGGUGACCCAAUUUAUGGGAGUUUAUUCAGGAGUGGAAGAAUUGAAGCUAUGUCGAGAAUCGAGGUGUUAACUCCAAAACCCAGAUUACUUUAAAUGGUACGGGCGAGUGGGUUUUGAGAGGGCCUGUCUGGCUCAAGUAUUUCCCGCACGUCGAUUGCCUCCUGUCCAUCUAUGGCGGCUCACCAGGGAUCACAUCAGAAUAAAAUGUUUCGGCAGCGUGGGAGAAGAAGGAACGAAGCGUUUGUCUGUUAAGGCAGGUGUGUAAACGGGUGUUGGAGAAUAGAGGGGGAGAAAGAAAGAGCACCAAAGAUUGCGUUGCACUGUGUUUUUCUUUUCGAGAAAGUGCGUGUUUGUACCCGAUCAACUCCGUCGUAGAGACCUCCGGCAGUCUGAAGGCCAAGCUAAGGGACACCCGUGGCCUGCUGAGGAUUAGCUGUGUGUUCUUACUACUCUCCAGUCAAGAAAGAUGUUUCCUCUAACGUCACACAGGCCGACUGACCUACUCAAACUCAGCCAGAUAACAUCUGUACUCCACUGUUAAAGGGAAGUGUUUGCUUUUUCAGGAAGGCUCCACUACAGUCCAUGGUUCAGCUCAAUGGUGUUUGGAAAGCUUCAAGGCAAAAGGAGGCACUGUAGUACCAGAGAAGGCAAGAGUCCUUCUAUAAUAAACAACUUCCAGUCUGUUUUGCGGCUUAUCCCAUGACACUGCCUUUUGAACAUUGGAGCCAUUGGAGACAGCAUGGCUCCCCCCUGUACUGUAUAAUGCAUGCAGAUGGGAGGUCAUCUCAUGUGUUUUUCAGCGUGGUGUCAAAACAUGCCUUUCCGUUUUAACAUCCAGGUGUCCUGUUAGAAUUAAAGACUAGCAACAGAAUAUGCAGGACCAGUUAACAAAUUCUAGUUGAUUACAUUUACAAUUACCUAAAAGGGUAAGAUGAAGACUUGAAGAGAUUUAUGAAAUAUUUCCCAUCAGUUGCUCACAUAGCAUACCCUGCAGACAGUGCAGCAUGAAUGUAAGUGUACUCGUUCCAUUGUCAGACACAACGGCCCAAAACCCUUUUUGUGUGUUUUUCUGUUAACUGCUACUGUUGACAAACUGACCUUACAGCCUGACUGUCACAUAACUGCUACUGUUGACACACUGACCUUACAGGCUGUCACAUAACUGCUACUGUUGACACACUGAACUUACAGCCUGACUGUCACAUAACUGCUACUGUUGACACACUGAACUUACAGCCUGACUGUCACAUAACUGCUACUGUUGACACACUGAACUUACAGCCUGACUGUCACAUAACUGCUACUGUUGACACACUGACCUUACAGCCUGACUGUCACCUAACUGCUACUGUUGUCACACUGAACUUACAACCUGACUGUCAUAUAACUGCUACUGUUGACACACUGAACUUACAACCUGACUGUCACAUAACUGCUACUGUUGUCACACUGAACUUACAACCUGACGGUCAUAUAACUGCUACUGUUGACACACUGAACUUACAACCUGACUGUCACAUAACUGCUACUGUUGACACACUGAACUUACAGCCUGACUGUCACAUAACUGCUACUGUUGACACACUGACCUUACAGCCUGACUGUCACAUAACUGCUACUGUUGACACACUGAACUUAC